RNAcentral lists this transfer RNA (84 nucleotides) under Verrucomicrobiota bacterium. RNAcentral describes it as "Verrucomicrobia bacterium tRNA-Leu". It matches the Rfam family "tRNA". From Rfam's summary of the family: Transfer RNA (tRNA) molecules are approximately 80 nucleotides in length. Their secondary structure includes four short double-helical elements and three loops (D, anti-codon, and T loops). The record is from RNAcentral. Lineage: Bacteria; Pseudomonadati; Verrucomicrobiota.
GGGCGAGUGGUGGAAUGGCAGACACGCAAGACUUAGGAUCUUGUGGCGCAAGCCGUGGGGGUUCAAGUCCCCCCUCGCCCACCA